UGGGGAAUAUUGAGCAAUGGGCGCAAGCCUGACCCAGCAACGCCGCGUGAAGGAAGAAGGCUUUCGGGUUGUAAACUUCUUUUGUCAGGGACGAAGCAAGUGACGGUACCUGACGAAUAAGCCACGGCUAACUACGUGCC
This 140-nucleotide ribosomal RNA is filed under the name uncultured bacterium. Its description in RNAcentral is "partial 16S ribosomal RNA". It matches the Rfam family "Bacterial small subunit ribosomal RNA", at positions 355 to 509 of the family's 1533-position model. The record is from RNAcentral.